Molecule: long non-coding RNA, 4312 nt
Filed under: Homo sapiens (human)
Lineage: Eukaryota; Metazoa; Chordata; Mammalia; Primates; Hominidae
Description: HSALNT0382920
Source: RNAcentral
CCCGCCCGAGAAGGCGGCGCUGGGAGCCGCUCAGAGCCCAGAGAAGCGGCGCGCGGCCAGGAGCCCCCGCUCCGCCACUGCCGUGCCUGCCUCCCGCAGCUGUCUGCCAUGCGCUCGCCGGGGCAGGGGCGCCCGGAGGGCGGCUAGAGCUGGGCCUGAGCCCGGGAACGCGCCUGAUCAGGGGUGGCGGAGCCGCGGUCCCCACAGCCGCCCCACCCGCGCCGCUGCCUCGCUGGGGCCCGGGCCCCCUUCCCGGUCCCUGUAUGAGUGCCACAGAGCCGUCAUAAAGCUAGAUAACCGAAAGUAGAAAUGAUUCUCACAACUUCUGCGUGCGAGCGCCCGCCCCACCGACCGCCCCGGCCCGGCCCGCAAGAGCCAGAGGAGCCGAGAGGAGCCCAGCGCCGGCCCAGCGGACUCCAGCUCGACGGAGCGGCCGCGCCCCGACCAGUUACUCCCCUGCUGGUGCCUCCCUCCUUGGCGCGCUUCCCACCUGCGAUCGGCGCCCUCUUCGCAGUCACGAACUCGCCAGCAGCUAGCAGCACUGACUAGUAGGAGGGCCCGCCGGAGGAGAGGACAUGCUCUGGAGUCAGAAGACAGCGAAAAGAGAAGCAGAAGCCCCGGUGGCAAGAGUCUGAAGGAAGGAUGACUGUAGCCUGUGGAUUGUACUGCAGUAGGAAACUGUCCUAGCAAGGCUCCACUUUGCCCCAGCUUCAAGCUGGAAAGGAGGAGAACAUGAAACAUUGCUUGAAGACAAUGGCCGAGACAGCAGGUCCCACCCUGCACAGCCACCAGCAUCUCUCCCCUCAGCCCUGUCUCCUCUUCUGCAGUUGGGAUCUGCACAUUUAAGCCUGAAAUUGUCCUGUGAAGUGAAGUAUGAUCGGACAGCCUCUUUUCAGCUUUUAUGACAAUGGAGACAGAGGAAUUGUGGCUCUUGCCAAGGUCACAGGAUUGGAAUACAGAGCCAAGCCACCCCAGGACAUGCAAGAGCCUCAGAAGGGAAAAAAGCCCAGCAGGAAGGGAGAACAAGUAGCCUCUGUCCUGAAGUUGUAACAGCCAGGGGCCAGGAUGGAGGAGGAGGACCCCAUAAUCUGCCCAUCUGGGACUUGGCAGGGGACCUGGGAAAAUGUACCCCAACCCAUCCCUUAAGGGCCUUUGUCUUUGGCCCAUUGGCCUAGCAUCUACUUCUUCACCGUGUCUGUUCUUGUCACACCUAGUCAGGUCUGUUUGGGUCUGAGGUGCAUGGAACAUUCUGGGUAGGCCUCCAGCAAACGGAAGCUCUUCACCGUGUUUCCAGCCUGGGACCAAGGGCAGCAUACUGGCAAAGUUGCCAAAGCAAGGGACUCCAGCCUCUUAGGAGUUAAUGACUCCCUCUCCCCAGCUGUCCUCCCCUUGGUGCUCCUCUUCCUCCCUCCUCCUGCUCACAGCAGGCAGGGCCUAGACCCGGGAGCCAUGCUGCUGUGCUGUUGCCAGGGGAGCACGGAGGCAGAUCUGAGCUAUGCAGGGAAAAGGCCCAGCCUGUCAAAGUGUCUGAGAUGAACCGCCGCCGUCCCUGUGCAGCUGGGCUCAGACGUGUCUCAGCUCUUGUUCUGUGCCUGAGAAUGGCGAAACCCAGUGAGGUUCAAGGGCAAACUCGCUAUUCAUUAGUCAGGGGUUCUUGACGUCCCGUCUCUCCCAGGGAUGAGUUCCCCCCUCCUCUUUCUCCCCCUCCUAUGACACAUUCCUGGGUGCCUUUGGUGAGGACUGCACACCCUCCUCCUGCCUAGCCCCCUCUCCAAAGGCCCCUGAAUAAACUCCCCCCAAGGAGACCAGGCAGGGCAGAGACAAUGGCUGCAGGAAAUCAUUCAGGCGGGACAUGCUGGCCUGCCCUCCACCCAGUCCCCCUGUGGGCCCCACUCCCUUCUGAUUCAGGGCACCCUUGGGCCCCCAGCCUAUACAGGCCUGGACAGGAAGAAACCACUGGGAACCACCCUAAGGACAACAUGCUAGUCCAGUGCCAUUCUUCGCUGGCUCUGUGGGUGCCUUUGUGGCCUGUACCGACUGGCUGGCUAAUUUUGUGGUUUCUGUACCAUCACAUGCCUAUUUUAAGACACUCUCCAGCACUGUCGGUUAGGGAGUGUAAAUUUUGCAAUAUUUUCUGAAAUGUGGCAAUAUCAAAAUGUAAAAGGCACACAUACUUGGUCACAAACAAAUGGCACUAUUUACUCUGUGGGCAUAUUUGUAAAAGUUGCCAAAGAAUUAUAUACAAGGAUGUUCAUCAGAGCAUUUCUUUUGAAGAGUAAAGAAAUGGACAUGAACCUGUGGUCCGUUCAUACGGUGGAAUACCUAUGCAGCUGUAAAAAUCAGUGUGGUAGAUCUCCGUAUAUGAGUUGAUGUGGAAGGUUGGCCAGUUCACAUGAUAAGGUGAAUAGAAUAAGUUACAGAACAGGCUGUAGAGUAUGAUCUUAUUUGUAGAUGUUUAAAACUGAGUCAUAAGUAUGCUUAUAUACAGAUCGUUUCUGGAAGUAUGUACUGGAAGUCUACCUCUGGGGAGUGGGGAUGGGGGAGUGCACUCUUCUAUACUGUUAUAUUUUCUUUUCAUGCUCCUAAGGUACUUUUAUUGGAAGAUGUAAAGCGGUUCAAUGUAAUAGGCUUAACUUCUGUCAACUAAGUUGGCGUGGGUGCUUUAAGAGGGUGGUAGUGAUGUUGCUGGAGAAAGUAUCCCACAGUCACUGGUGGCUUCAGCCACGGGCCAUUUUGGGGCCUAAUAAUCACAUAUCAUCAUGGUUGCUAGUGUUAAUCGAAAACCUACUAAGUGCCAGGCUUACUGUCUCUGGGUCUUGCUUACGUGGAUGUCAUUUUUCCAGUUGCACCAAAUCGAAAGAGGUUAAUUGGUUUGUUGGAGUUCCUUUGUAGGUGAAGGGCAGAGCCAGGAGCUUGGCUAGGGACAGGGGAGGUGAGUGGGGGAUGGUGGAUAGGUCUUGGCUCCCAGUUUCCUUCUGGGCAGACAUUGCCCCUCUGCCCUGAGGACCUGCUUGUUUGGGGGAAGAGGCCUUUAGAGGCACCAGGGUCAUGCCAGGUGUUGGACAUGGUGAACUGGGAAGUGCUCCCAUCUGGCCACAGCGCAGAAGUAUCACCGUGCUGGGGGAUGGGGAACAGGGCUGUGAAUGGGCCUAUUUGCAUAAGCAGCAUGUGUCUGGAGAGAAAGACAUCACAGAGCAGAAGAGUGCGGGUGCCCAGGAGUGCACUUGCCACCCCUACUUCAUCCCUGAAAGAGUAAAUGGCCUGGAAGGUGUCUCUGAGAGGUAAUGCCGCACACCACCCUCCCUGGGGGCAGGGUCAGGCUACACCUGCCUUAGGUCGGGGGCUGCAGCAGCCUGAGAGCUCUCAGUAGGGCCUCAGUAGCCUGGGAGGGAGCAGGGGCAGGGGGCAGGGAAAGAGGCGUAAUGGGGCUGUCCAGAGGGGCCUGGGAAACCUGGUCCCUGAGGCCUGGGCACAGCUACAAUCACUUCAAAUUGGCUGUGGGGCCAGUGGACUGGGAAGGAAAAAAGCAAUAAGAGUGACCAAGUGCAGAAGGCUGUCAGGUCCCAGGUCACAUGCCUUAGUGCAGUGACUCCUCAUCAUUUUAUGGGGUGUGGGUGUCGUUGGUACACCCAUUUUACAGAUGAGGACACCGAGGCCCAGAAAAGUUAAGUUACAUGUCCUAAGUCACACAGCUUGUAAGUGCCAGAACUGAGAUCAAAACCAAGUCUCUUUGACUUUAAAGUCUGUACUCUGACCCCAAAGAGAUCCUGUUUGGCCACUUAUAGGAGGUCCCUAAAGCUGCAGACUCCCCUUGCCGGCACCCACAUAUAGAGACAUUAACCCUUCCCCUGCAGGGUCACCUCAAAUAGUCUUUUAGCUGGGCUUCUCCUGCAAUUCCACCUAAUGCCAUCCCCUGGGUUUUGCCCAAACCUGAACUGGGCAGUGGGGUGAGAGGAGGGGUUUACAGGGUUACAGAGCCUCAUACAGAUAGGAGCCCAUGGCUGCUGGUCAUCUGCAUUCCUGCAGGAUUGGCUGUUCCUUGGGGUCCUUGGCAGGAAAAUGAGGAUUGCUCCGAGGCCUGCUCCAGUACUUCCCAGAGGCUGGCCUGGUGUGGGGCUCUGGGAAGGCUGAGGCUGGAGAAGCGUAAGUAGGAGGGCAGAGAUGGCACUCAGGUAGCUUGAAUCACCAGGACCCUUCCAAGCCCCACAGGUUCUGAGGGAGUACUAGGGCCAGCUCUGGGAGAGGUCUCUUCCUAUGCUGUGAACCCCCUGCCUUUCUUGCAGCCUACAACGAAUAAAUUUUCUUUGCAAAG